UACAGAGGGUGCAAGCGUUGUUCGGAAUUAUUGGGCGUAAAGCGCGUGUAGGCGGCUUGUUAUGUCGGGUGUGAAAGCCCUCAGCUUAACUGAGGAAGUGCGCCCGAAAACUGGCGAGCUUGAGUACCGGAGAGGGUGGCGGAAUUCCCCAAGUAGAGGUGAAAUUCGUAGAUAUGGGGAGGAACACCGGUGGCGAAGGCGGCCACCUGGGACG
RNAcentral lists this ribosomal RNA (214 nucleotides) under uncultured bacterium. RNAcentral's name for it is "partial 16S ribosomal RNA". It matches the Rfam family "Bacterial small subunit ribosomal RNA", at positions 524 to 735 of the family's 1533-position model. The record is from RNAcentral.